GAUGAACGCUGGCGGCGUGCCUAAUACAUGCAAGUCGAGCGAACGGACGAGAAGCUUGCUUCUCUGAUGUUAGCGGCGGACGGGUGAGUAACACGUGGAUAACCUACCUAUAAGACUGGGAUAACUUCGGGAAACCGGAGCUAAUACCGGAUGAUAUUUUGAACCGCAUGGUUCAAAAGUGAAAGACGGUCUUGCUGUCACUUAUAGAUGGAUCCGCGCUGCAUUAGCUAGUUGGUAAGGUAACAGCUUACCAAGGCAACGAUGCAUAGCCGACCUGAGAGGGUGAUCGGCCACACUGGAACUGAGACACGGUCCAGACUCCUACGGGAGGCAGCAGUAGGGAAUCUUCCGCAAUGGGCGAAAGCCUGACGGAGCAACGCCGCGUGAGUGAUGAAGGUCUUCGGAUCGUAAAACUCUGUUAUUAGGGAAGAACAUAUGUGUAAGUAACUGUGCACAUCUUGACGGUACCUAAUCAGAAAGCCACGGCUAACUACGUG
RNAcentral lists this ribosomal RNA (497 nucleotides) under uncultured bacterium. RNAcentral's name for it is "partial 16S ribosomal RNA". It matches the Rfam family "Bacterial small subunit ribosomal RNA", at positions 28 to 507 of the family's 1533-position model. The record is from RNAcentral.